UCGUAACAAGGUCUCCGUUGGUGAACCAGCGGAGGGAUCAUUACAGAGUUUACAACUCCCAAACCCCAAUGUGAACAUACCUCUUGUUGCUUCGGCGGACCCGCCCCGGCGUCCGGAAGGCCCCACACGGCCCUCCGCGGCCCGGACCCAGGCGGCCGCCGGAGACCAAACCAAAACUAUUGUAUUAUCAGUUUCUUCUGAAUCCGCCGCAAGGCAAAACAAAUGAAUCAAAACUUUCAACAACGGAUCUCUUGGUUCUGGCAUCGAUGAAGAACGCAGCGAAAUGCGAUAAGUAAUGUGAAUUGCAGAAUUCAGUGAAUCAUCGAAUCUUUGAACGCACAUUGCGCCCGCCAGCAUUCUGGCGGGCAUGCCUGUUCGAGCGUCAUUUCAACCCUCGAGCUCCCUUUGGGGAGCCCGGCGUUGGGGACCGGCAGCUUUACCGCCGGCCCCGAAAUGGAGUGGCGGCCCGUCCGCGGCGACCUCUGCGUAGUAACUUACACCUCGCACCGGAACCCCGACGUGGCCACGCCGUAAAACACCCAACUUUUGAACGUUGACCUCGGAUCAGGUAGGAAUACCCGCUGAACCUAAGCAUAUCA
RNAcentral lists this unclassified non-coding RNA (599 nucleotides) under Nectriopsis rexiana. Its description in RNAcentral is "sequence contains 18S rRNA gene, ITS1, 5.8S rRNA gene, ITS2, 28S rRNA gene". The stretch from base 232 to 385 matches the Rfam family "5.8S ribosomal RNA". Lineage: Eukaryota; Fungi; Ascomycota; Sordariomycetes; Hypocreales; Bionectriaceae. The record is from RNAcentral.